CGCCGCCGCAGUCUGCACCGCGGCUAAGCCGUCAGACGGCGCGGCUGCCGUCUCCGCCCAUUGGUUCCUGCGUGAAUUGAAUAAGCCAAUGGGCGUAGGGAGGCGGAGCCUGGACUGCAGUUGCCGGGGCCGGUCUGGUGUCUGCCCAGUUCGGUUGGGACUGAGUCUGCAGGUUUCAAACCUAAACAGCGCUCUUCAUCCUGGACGUGCGAUGGGGGAGGAGUCGGCCUGCUCAGUCCCCACGACAUAGCAGGACUAGGUUGACAAACAACCGAGAUGGGACACAUCUUGAGACCCUCACAGUCCUUGGAGGAAGGCAGACGAGAAAAAGACAAGAAAAGUGUUGAUUGGCUGCCCUUCUUAUUAAACAUCGACGCGUUCACUGACGAGGACGUAAACACCGAUCUGGCGUACCACGAGCGUGUGUAUUUUCGUUUCACAAAUACUGCUUCAUUUUGAGCAUCAAUUCUGAGGUGGGACGUUAUCACCACUUUUUCCACUGAGAGGUGACAGGUUCAGAGGUUGUUUGUCCACGUUUGCACAGCGUGUGAAGGGGAACUGAAAUUGGGAUCUACUUUCCAUACCUUUAUUCUAAGCAAUUAUCAAAUGCAAAAAAGGGAGGAGAGGAGGAGAAACAGAAAAAAAUGAAGAUAAACCUCAUCCCCUCCUCAAGGUUAUAUAUAAUUCUCCUUUGAAGAUAAAAUAGCAUUUGUUACAGACGUUUUGUGUUUGUGUGGUUAAGUGUGCCGCCAUAAUCUUCGUUUUUCUCAUCUAAAAAUACCACCUUCAUAAAACCCACACAAACACUCAAUCCACAUGACAGAACGAAACAAGUCAGGGCUAGAAGGUUUUAAGAGUGGCAGUGGGGAAGUGAGGGCGAGUCUGG
This 886-nucleotide long non-coding RNA is filed under the name Homo sapiens (human). Its description in RNAcentral is "HSALNT0202167". The record is from RNAcentral. Lineage: Eukaryota; Metazoa; Chordata; Mammalia; Primates; Hominidae.